GGAUUUCGACGGGGAUUUUGAACUGCGAUAAGCGAGUAGUGGAGUCUGACCACUAUAAAACGGACGGUUUAUCAAAAAUAAACGACAAAAACGAAACAGCACUUAUGGCUGCUUAAUUAGCGGCGAGCAUUCCCCCAGGAGUACUGCGGCCUGGUACGGAGUGUCAUUUAGCAGUAAAUGUGAACGGAUAACCGCCUUGUAGUCCGUCACACAUAACAGGGCUACCGAAAUGAAUGCCUGUUUGUCGGCUGUCACGUAGGGAAUUUUAGUAGAUAAACUACGCUCGUAGAAAGUUUCAGGAAUAGAUUUUCGGACGUGGUUUCGAUUACCACCAUCUCCACCA
RNAcentral lists this transfer-messenger RNA (343 nucleotides) under human gut metagenome. It matches the Rfam family "transfer-messenger RNA". Rfam says of the family: Bacterial tmRNA, also known as 10Sa RNA or SsrA, is named for its dual tRNA and mRNA-like properties. The record is from RNAcentral.